This 492-nucleotide ribosomal RNA is filed under the name uncultured bacterium. Its description in RNAcentral is "partial 16S ribosomal RNA". It matches the Rfam family "Bacterial small subunit ribosomal RNA", at positions 29 to 507 of the family's 1533-position model. The record is from RNAcentral.
AGUGAACGCUGGCGGUAGGCCUAACACAUGCAAGUCGAACGGCAGCACAGUAAGAGCUUGCUCUUACGGGUGGCGAGUGGCGGACGGGUGAGGAAUACAUCGGAAUCUACUUUUUCGUGGGGGAUAACGUAGGGAAACUUACGCUAAUACCGCAUACGACCUACGGUUGAAAGCAGGGGAUCUUCGGACCUUGCGCGAUUGAAUGAGCCGAUGUCGGAUUAGCUAGUUGGCGGGGUAAAGGCCCACCAAGGCGACGAUCCGUAGCUGGUCUGGGAGGAUGAUCAGCCACACUGGAACUGAGACACGGUCCAGACUCCUACGGGAGGCAGCAGUGGGGAAUAUUGGACAAUGGGCGCAAGCCUGAUCCAGCCAUACCGCGUGGGUGAAGAAGGCCUUCGGGUUGUAAAGCCCUUUUGUUGGGAAAGAAAAGCAGCAGGUUAAUACCCCGCUGUUCUGACGGUACCCAAAGAAUAAGCACCGGCUAACUUCGUG